UAUUUUCUUUACCUGCUACAUUUAUUGUUUCUUUCUGGCUCUGUGGCAUGAUCAUGGUGAUCAAUGCUUUGUGUUUGUGUAGUACCUGUAGCCCCCCCAACAAGAAAACAACAAAAUUAAUAAAGAGUUGUUUACACAAAAAAACAUUAAUAAAAAAAUACACUUUCAUAUGCAUGAUUAUGCAUGCAUAAGUAACACAGAAUUGUAACAAAACACACACACACACUAACGUUAGUGCUUAGUUUUGGGGUAGAUCUGUCCCAGAGUUACCUGAGAGGCAGACAGCAUAGCGUUCUGCCACGGACAUUUCAUUCCACCUAGCUGUUGUCAGAGAAGCAGCACCUGAGCCGGGUUGGGCUGCUUGGUGCCGUGGCGUGGGCUCCGUGGCAGUGGCAUGAUCAACAUCUCAACCACAGACUGUGUCCUGUCCUGGCAGAGCCAGCAGUCAGCUCCAGACCUGCAGCAAUGUGUGCUUUGGCAACCAGUCAACCAGCCCUCUCACGCUCCACACACGCUCCCUCCUCCUUCUCCCUCUCAAGCUCUACAUCCUCCCUCAACCCCCAUCACAGUACCCUCACGAUAUACAUGCUGACACCCUCACUAUAGCAGAAUGACAUGGCUAUGAUGCAUCCCCUAAGGUUGUCAGUGUGAGUUUAUCUGAACUGUGAGUCAGGCAUUCUAACCGUCAAUGUAGCUGGUUUGCAUACGUUGGGGGGAGUUUAUACUCGCUUGCUCGCACGCACGCACGCACGCACGCACACACACACACACACACACACACACUCACACACAAACACACACACACACACACACACACACACACACACACACACACACACACACACACACACACACAUACUCUCACUCACACUUUUUAAGUAGUUUUGCCAGGAUCCUCCCCUGUGCAAGCCGUCUUACAUGCAUGUUCUUGUUUUGGAAAGAUAAAGCCCACAUCUGACCCUCUUUCUCUUCACACUGCUGUCCAUCUGAUAGGAGAGCAGGGCUGUUUUCCUAUGAGCUAAACCAGCCGUCUGAUGGGGAAGUGAGAGCCACAGAGCGAGACGCUUUACAUUCCAAUAGCGAGCAACUGCUAUCAACACACCCGCUAGGGCUAAAUAUGAUAUCAGCUCUAUUUGGAGGAGAAGGACCUCACAAUAACCAUUAUAUAAUACAGAUGAAAUCCUGACAGUCCUGGCAGUGAGUCAGGUCACUUUGUGUAAAUUAUCUCUCUGUGUUGAUGUUGGAGUGCAUGUGGACACAUCCCACUCUCCGAAAUAGAUCGGACCAAAAUACAACUGGCCUGCGCUGUUGACUUAAAUUACAGAUCCUACAGACUUCAGAGGGCGUUAUGGGCAAAAUCAUCCCAAUGUUAAAGUCGGUUUAUUCAUACAUGGGCAUAAACUCCAGUUCAGUUUUGUCUGGCAAGCUUGAACCAAAGAGAUUUCUUCUGGAAGAAGUUUUAAGAAUAUUUAAUGGCGAAUGGAGAUUUUUGCCUGUAGACACACUUGCACAUAAAGACACACACACACACACACACACACACACACACACACACCACACACACACACAAUGUACUUAUGUGCUUUCCCCCAAAGAGGGAGGGGGUUCUUAAAUUGAGUUAUGUAAGGUUAAAUGAAGUGCUUUGCUUUUGUUUCAUGGUUUGAUGGAAAACCCAGUCAGAGUCUAGCUGUCUGGACAAUCUUAUCUAGCAAGAAAACAGGCAGCUCACUUAACCCUCGAAAAAUUGUUCAAUCUGCAUUAAGAAAAACAACAGAAUGGCUUGGACUGGUCUUCUCCAGAUCACUGCAAUGUACUGUUUUUAGCCAAUUAUCUUGUUCUGUACAUUGGGUUUACUGGGUUUAUAUUGGUUUGCUCUCUCCUCUGAGCUCACAGGAAGUCAAUUCACAGGGUUAAUCUGUUGGUCAGUAGUUGUCUUCCUAUUAGGGAGGAAACCCUGAACUGCGGGACAGUAGUAGAAAAGUAUUCAAUUGAUAUGGAGGCUUUGUUGGGCUGAACUCUGACCUCUAGGCUAGUAGUCUACAUACGGUGCAUUUGGGAAGUAUUCAGACCCCUUGACUUUUUCAAAAUUUUGUUACGUUACAGCUUUAUUCUAAAAUGUAUAUCAAUUAAAACAAAUCUCAACAAUCUAAACACAAUACCCCAUAAUGACGAAGAAAAAACUUUUUGUUGUUGUUGUUUUUUAACUGGUGAUGAGGGAGAAAAAAUAAUUUAAUCUGCUUUAGUCCAAAGGUUGUUAAAUAACAAAAUGUGGAAAAAGUCAAGGGAUCUGAAUACUUUCCAAAUGCACUGUAUAUAACUGUUCCAUUGGGAGAAGAAAAAGCCAGAUGAUCUUAUGUAAUUGUACUGUUUGGCAGUAGACCUGAUGCUGUCGUCUGCAGUAUGUAGCAGUAUUCAUCCCAGGUGUUUGUCUCUCUGAGUAGAGCGUGGCUGUCUUCCUCAUUUGGUUUCAUGUUUGCCUUUAUAUGUAUUUUCUGUCUUCUCAUUAACCAAUGGCAACCACAUUCCAUAGGGCGGCAGGUAGCCUAGCGCUUAAGAGCGUUGGGCCAGUAACUGAAAGAUUACUGGUUCGCAUCCCCAAGCCAACUAGGUGAAAAAUCUGUUGAGCAAGGUACUUAACCCUAAUUGUUCCUGUAAGUCAGUCUGGAUACGAGCGUCUGCUAAAUGACGAAAAUUUUCAUGUAAAAUUCCUUAGCAGGGGGAGAGACACAGGUGUCAACGUUACCUACCCCUGCCCACCACAGGGGGCUCCUGAGUCACAGGGGGAGCAACAGGGGGCUCCUGAGUCCCGCAGUAGUCUAAGGCACUGCAUCUCAGUGCUAGAGUCAUCACUACAGACCCUGGUUCGAUUCCAGGCUGUAUCACAACCAGCCGUGAUUGGGAGUCCCAUAGGGCAACCCACAAUUGGCCCAGCGUCGUCCGGGUUAGGGCCUGGCUGGCCUAGGCCGUCAUUGUAAAUAAGAAUUUGUUCUUAACUGACUUGCCUCAUUAAAUAAAGGUUAAGUAAAAAUAAAUAAACAUGAGGUUCUCUGUGGUAAAUAAAAGGCCUCUUGUAGUCCUUCUCUUGGCUUUACUGUGGUAAUCUAGUUCAUUCAUUAGAAACUAGAAAAUGUGUUCUCUUUCUGUCUGUCUCUGAGAGAGAUGCUUGAUGACUAGAAUUCUGAAUGAGAGUGUAAACUCUCUCUCCCUCUCCCUCCCUCCCUAUGGUGUGGUAUUCCUGAGGAGCUGACUAUGGAGAGGGCCCAUACAGCAGUGGAGGGGGUGUUUGAGACCCUCAAAGAGUUGAGCCAUGCCCGAGACCACCUCAAAUAGUUCACCUCCGUCUACACAGCCAGCGAUGGAGUACAUCAGGCGACGUGCCAUCCAUUCCUCAGACAGGUUCUGGAGGAGAUCUUCCAUCCAGACAGACCUGAGUGUCCCGACGUAGAACACAUGUCUGGAGGCCUCACCGACCUGCUCAAGACUGGCUUCAGUGAACCGGCCACACCCCAGCGACCACGGCCUGUUCUUUCUCUUCCUGGUGGGAGGAGUCACUCCUUCUGAGCUGCGCCUGAUCCGCAAGGUAGUCUCCACCCACAAGCCGGGUACACAGAGUCUGAAGGGACAUAUCAAAAGAGGAACCUGAGCAGAAAAUGCAGCGAGAAGCAGGGAGGGGGCGACCACAAAAAUCUGGGUGCUGAGUUGACGAUGUUCCUUCAUCUGCCCUGGAAGAAAGUCAAGAGUAGCUAGGUGCUGGUCCUCUCUACCAGACUGUUGAGACCUACAGACAUCCCCGAGCUGCUCUUCACCACCCAAAGACUGGUGCCAGACAUUGGUGUGUGAGCACGGAACAAGGACCACACACACACAGACGCACGCAAGCACACACACACACACACCUACCACUCUUAGGGUGUGGAGAGGAGAAAUGAGAGGCUCCAGUGAGAUUGUGUGGUUUGGUAAUGGACUGGAGUCAUGGGUGUAGUGAGCAGAGGUGGAGGUUUAUGAAUUUGUCUAGAGGAAAAAACAGAGGAUCUACUUAGGCCUUUUUCAAAGGCAUUCCCAAAUGUUUACUUCAGUUGUGUUACGUUAGAGUCCUCUCCCUUCCCUUGUACUACCCAAAUCACAUUGUAAGGCAACACUUAGGUACUUAUGGAUUCUCUCAUUCCAAAUUGUACAGAAUGUAAACGUGAUCCAAUCUGGUGUAAUCUGAUCUUGAAGCUCAACUCCAAACAGACAGAUGACAUUCAAAUCAAGUUACUUCAAUACGUGUUUUGUUGUUUACAUUCAAUCUGUAUACGUUGAAUAAAUCUUGUAUAUUUGUGAAACUCA
Oncorhynchus masou masou (cherry salmon) is the source of this 4329-nucleotide long non-coding RNA. RefSeq lists it as uncharacterized. Lineage: Eukaryota; Metazoa; Chordata; Actinopteri; Salmoniformes; Salmonidae. The record is from RefSeq and is a predicted model, not a curated record. The transcript is spliced from 5 exons.